CCUACGGGAGGCAGCAGUAAGGAAUAUUGGUCAAUGGACGAAAGUCUGAACCAGCCAUGCCGCGUGAAGGAUUAAGGCCCUCUGGGUUGUAAACUUCUUUUAUCUGGGACGAAAAAAGGGUAUUCUUACUCACUUGACGGUACCAGAGGAAUAAGCACCGGCUAACUCCGUGCCAGCAGCCGCGGUAAUACGGAGGGUGCAAGCGUUAUCCGGAUUUACUGGGUUUAAAGGGUGCGUAGGUGGGCUUGUAAGUCAGUGGUGAAAUCUCCGGGCUUAACCCGGAAACUGCCAUUGAUACUAUAGGUCUUGAAUUAUCUGGAGGUAAGCGGAAUAUGUCAUGUAGCGGUGAAAUGCUUAGAUAUGACAUAGAACACCAAUUGCGAAGGCAGCUUACUACGGAUAUAUUGACACUGAGGCACGAAAGCGUGGGGAUCAAACAGGAUUAGAUACCCUGGUAGUCCACGCCCUAAACGAUGGAUACUCGACAUCAGCGAUACACUGUUGGUGUCUGAGCGAAAGCAUUAAGUAUCCACCUGGGAAGUACGAUCGCAAGAUUGAAACUCAAAGGAAUUGACGGCUGAGACGNGCGAGACGACGACGAGGGAGAGG
This 609-nucleotide ribosomal RNA is filed under the name uncultured bacterium. Its description in RNAcentral is "bacterial SSU rRNA". It matches the Rfam family "Bacterial small subunit ribosomal RNA", at positions 338 to 947 of the family's 1533-position model. The record is from RNAcentral.